UCUGCCCUAUCAACUUUCGAUGGUAGGAUAGUGGCCUACCAUGGUUUCAACGGGUAACGGGGAAUUAGGGUUCGAUUCCGGAGAGGGAGCCUGAGAAACGGCUACCACAUCCAAGGAAGGCAGCAGGCGCGCAAAUUACCCAAUCCCGACACGGGGAGGUAGUGACAAUAAAUAACCAUACAGGGCUCUUUCGGGUCUUGUAAUGGAAUGAGUACAAUUAAGUCUCUAACGA
RNAcentral lists this ribosomal RNA (232 nucleotides) under uncultured Basidiomycota. RNAcentral's name for it is "partial 18S ribosomal RNA". It matches the Rfam family "Eukaryotic small subunit ribosomal RNA", at positions 306 to 540 of the family's 1831-position model. The record is from RNAcentral. Lineage: Eukaryota; Fungi; Basidiomycota.